UUAUCAUUUAGAGGAAGGAGAAGUCGUAACAAGGUUUCCGUAGGUGAACCUGUGGAAGGAUCAUUGUCGAGGCCCGUCGAGCAGCAAGACCUGCGAACCGGUGACCCUGACGAGGCGCGCGUGGCUCGGGGGGGGCGCGGAGCCACCCGCUCUCCCGGGGGACCACGUGGCGAACCUCCCCCGGUGCGAUGGGCAACAAGAAACUGAGAUGAAAUGAGCGCGGCUCCCUCUUGGGACGCCGGCGCACGUUCGGAACUUACACGACUCUCGGCAAUGAAUAUCUUGGCUCUCGCAUCGAUGAAAAACGUAGCGAAAUGCGAUACUUGGUGUGAAUUGCAGAAUCCCAUGAACCAUCAAGUCUUUGAACACAAGUUGUGCCCAAGGCCACCUGGUAGAGGGCACUCCUGCUUGGGCGUCACGUACCGUGCUGCCCCACCCGGCACUUGCCCCAUCCGACAGCGGUGCCGUAGGGCGGAGACUGGCUGCCCAUUCGCCCCACCCGCACGGACUCAGCGGUAGGUGGUUUGAGAGGUGGCUGCCUCGUCGGAGCCAAGAUACCGCGCCCGUUGUCCUGCGCUUGGGGACAAGCAGUGCGAAGUGGCACCCAACUCGGCUGCCCCGCGUGGCCCUCGUGCAGCGACGCCAAGUUAGGUGGGGACACCCGCUGAGUUUAAGCAUAUCAAU
RNAcentral lists this unclassified non-coding RNA (684 nucleotides) under Magnolia balansae. Its description in RNAcentral is "partial contains small subunit ribosomal RNA, internal transcribed spacer 1, 5.8S ribosomal RNA, internal transcribed spacer 2, and large subunit ribosomal RNA". The stretch from base 263 to 418 matches the Rfam family "5.8S ribosomal RNA". The record is from RNAcentral. Lineage: Eukaryota; Viridiplantae; Streptophyta; Magnoliopsida; Magnoliales; Magnoliaceae.